CCAACUGUGGGCGAGGCCUAGCCUCCCCACGCUCCUUCUCAUCCCUUUAUGGUGUACCUUCAGUUUCCUCGGCAGGCUUGCCUGCCAGCGAGGACCUUCCAUAAACCUUUUUGCAGUAAGCAGUAUACGUCUUAUCAAAAACAAAUCGUUUA
Molecule: unclassified non-coding RNA, 152 nt
Filed under: uncultured Ascomycota
Lineage: Eukaryota; Fungi; Ascomycota
Also listed under: 1 other name
Description: sequence contains ITS1
Source: RNAcentral